AGCAGCCGCGGUAAUUCCAGCUCCAAUAGCGUAUAUUAAAGUUGUUGCAGUUAAAAAGCUCGUAGUUGAAUUUCGGGAUCAAUCUGUUGGUCGUGCCUUUGGUACGUACUAGCUUAUUGAUUUCUCCCUUCUGACGAACCAUGAUGUCAUUUAUUUGGUGUUGUGGGAAAUCAGGACUGUUACUUUGAAAAAAUUAGAGUGUUUAAAGCAGGCUCACGCUUGAAUACAUUAGCAUGGAAUAAUGAAAUAGGACGUUUGAUUCUAUUUUGUUGGUUUCUAGGAUCGACGUAAUGAUUAAUAGGGAUAGUUGGGGGCAUUAGUAUUCAAUUGUCAGAGGUGAAAUUCUUGGAUUUAUUGAAGACUAACUACUGCGAAAGCAUUUGCCAAGGAUGUUUUCAUUAAUCAAGAACGAAAGUUAGGGGAUCGAAGACGAUCAGAUACCGUCGUAGUCUUAACCAUAAACUAUGCCGACUAGGGAUCGGAUGAUGUAAUUUUUAAUGA
Molecule: ribosomal RNA, 501 nt
Filed under: uncultured Glomus
Lineage: Eukaryota; Fungi; Glomeromycota; Glomeromycetes; Glomerales; Glomeraceae
Description: SSU rRNA
Rfam family: Eukaryotic small subunit ribosomal RNA
Source: RNAcentral